RNAcentral lists this ribosomal RNA (273 nucleotides) under uncultured Anoxybacillus sp. RNAcentral's name for it is "partial 16S ribosomal RNA". It matches the Rfam family "Bacterial small subunit ribosomal RNA", at positions 1107 to 1382 of the family's 1533-position model. Lineage: Bacteria; Bacillati; Bacillota; Bacilli; Caryophanales; Anoxybacillaceae. The record is from RNAcentral.
GACCUUAGUUGCCAGCAUUCAGUUGGGCACUCUAAGGUGACUGCCGGCUAAAAGUCGGAGGAAGUGGGGAUGACGUCAAAUCAUCAUGCCCCUUAUGACCUGGGCUACACACGUGCUACAAUGGGCGGUACAAAGGGUCGCGAACCCGCGAGGGGGAGCCAAUCCCAAAAAGCCGCUCUCAGUUCGGAUUGCAGGCUGCAACUCGCCUGCAUGAAGCCGGAAUCGCUAGUAAUCGCGGAUCAGCAUGCCGCGGUGAAUACGUUCCCGGGCCUU